Long non-coding RNA from Homo sapiens (human), 1667 nucleotides. RefSeq lists it as uncharacterized. NCBI's taxonomy places the organism in Eukaryota, Metazoa, Chordata, Mammalia, Primates, Hominidae. The transcript is spliced from 5 exons. The record is from RefSeq and is a predicted model, not a curated record.
AGGCGUGAGCCACCACGCCCGGCCUAUGAAUUAUUAAUAAUACUUUCACUGCAAAAGACCUUAUUUAUGAGGGAAAAGCAUUAUGUGAUAGUUAACGAUAGUUAAUACUUAUUAAAAUGAAGGGAAGAAAUUGUAAGAUUGGGUAAAGUAUAAUAUUUCAGUUGUUCAUGACCUACCUAUCUUUUUCAUUAAGGUACUAUGGAAAUUUUCCUGGGUCUGAACUUUCUUAAAAGGAUGAGAACGAGUACAAUUUGUGAUGUGAUGAAGUCCGUUACAACUGAAAGCGACACUCUGAUCCACUAGAUUCCAAACAGUUUAAACAGUAAAAACUGACCGAGUAAAUGUGAAUAUUUUUUCACUUGAACACUCUGAUCUGUUUGGAACUUAAUUUCCUUACUCAUGAAAUUAAUAUAAUAAGGCUAAGUUGGUCAGUAGUUAAACUAACUAAAUUUGGCUGAAGAUUGCUAUGUUCACUAUGCAAAGAUUAGACCGUUAGUUCCCUGAGUGAAGAGAUGCUAUCUUGGUAUCUCCAGCUUCCAACCGGGGGCUUGGCACAGAAUAGGGGCUUGGUAAAUGUUUUCCAAAUGAAUGGGAUGUCUGAUGGAAAGAAGACAAGGUGAAGGAAUUCCUGGGUAAUAUGGAGAUGAGAAUCUGUGAGAAGGAUACAUGUACUGAUGCCUGUCGCGGUGGACACACAGACGCACACAUUGCGGAACACCACCAUAAGAAUAUUGAGAAUAUCGAGAACACUUCAAUAUUCCAAACUUCAAUGGAAAUAUACGUAGGUUUCACUUAACUAUGGUCCUGAUGGCUUUUUUGAAAAAGAAAGAAAGAAAAAAUGUUUUCAUCAUAUUAAGAAAAUGUCUUAGUCUUAGUUCAGAGAUUUCAUCAGAAAAUGAUGUUGAUUUAUAUAAAAGCUUUUUCAUAGAUAUAUCAAACCUAUAGAAAUUAUAAUGCAUUUUUCUCCUCUUUUGAUAUAUUGAUACAAUGCUGCAGAUCUUCUAAGAUUGAAUGAUCCUUGCAUUACUGAAAUAAGUAUUGUCAUAGUGUAUUAUCAUUUUAUUACAGUAUGCAUUUGAUUUUUCUGGUGUUUUAUUUUUGUCAUUUCCGUCUAUAUAAAGUAAAAUUAGUCUACAUGGGGUAUAUGUGUGUGCAUGUGCAUGUGUGCAUGUGUGUGUGUGUGUAUUUGCUAUUUUGGUCAGGUUUGCUAUUAGCACUAUGGAAGGUUAUAAAAUAAGUUGGACAGCUGUCUAUUUUUUUUUAGAUGCUGUAAAAUUUCAAAUUCAUGCUCCACUUCUUAUAAAAGAAAUCCAGCAGCUUAAGGGUAGAAGAAAGAUAACAGGAGUCUGUCCCUUCGGCCAAAGAGUUUCUUUUCAAAGUUCGUGGUGGCAGCCUGAUGUCAGCUGGGGAAGAAGCUCCAUUCUUUUUCUGGCAGAACUGACUUCUUUGCGGGAGAGCUGUGGCAGCCCCUUUGCUUAUUCCCAGCAUGGAAAGACCACAAGAUCCCUGCUCCUUAUGGCUCUGGCAUGCAAUGCACUCCCUAGAGGGACCCCUUACAAGGCUACCAAUAACCUAUCAGCACCUCCAACUCUUACUACUGCACUGAAGGUUAGAGUCAGAUUUUGAUGAUGUCUCUUUUCAUUAAAUUUCCAGACUACAUAGAAACC